This is a long non-coding RNA of Oncorhynchus keta (chum salmon), 1322 nucleotides long. RefSeq lists it as uncharacterized. The transcript is spliced from 3 exons. The record is from RefSeq and is a predicted model, not a curated record. NCBI's taxonomy places the organism in Eukaryota, Metazoa, Chordata, Actinopteri, Salmoniformes, Salmonidae.
GCUCUCGACCCGCUCCAUUACAGCCUCGUCAAUGUGAAAGGGAGCGUGUUUGGCCCUCCAUUUCCUGUAGUCCACAAUCAUCUCCUUUUGUCUUGCUCACGUUGAGGGAGAGGUUGUUGUUAUGGCACCACACAGCCAGGUCUCUGACCUCCUCCCUAUAGGCUGUCUCAUCGUCAUCAUCGGUGGUCAGGCCCACCACCGUCGUGUCGUCUGCAAACUUAAUGAUGGUGUUGGGAGUCAUGUGCGGCCAGGGAGUACAAGAAGGGACUGAGCACCCCCCCCUGUCCACCUGGGGGGCUUGUCUACCCUGUCCACCUGGGGGGCUUGUCUACCCUGUCCACCUGGGGGGCUUGUCUGCCCUGCUGCUUGGCCAAGGAAACCUAUUUCAUGAAGCUCCCAACGAGCAGUUCUUGUGCUGAAGUUGAUUCCAGAGGCAGUUUGGAACUCGGUAGAGAGUGUUACAACCGAGGACAGACGAUUUUAACGCGCUACAUACUUCAGCACUCCCGAGCAACUACAGUUGACCGGGGAAGCUCUAACAGGGCAGAAAUUUGACGAACUUUUUGAAAAGGUAGCAUCCUACGACAGUGCCACGUUGAAAGUCUAUGUGCUCUUCAGUAAGACCAUUCUCCUGACAAUGUUUGUCUAUGGAGAUUGAAUGGCUGUAUCCUCAACUUCAUACACCUGUCAGCAAUGGGGAUGGCUGAAAUGACCAAAUCCAUUAAUCUGAAGGUGUGUCCACAUACUUUUGUAUAUAUAGUGUACUUUGAACAAGGUUUCACUAUCAAUUCAUCGAAAAUGUGAAAAGGCAAUCUGCAUAAAGGCAUAAAGGGCAUUUUGAAACAAGGGAUGAGCUUUCCUUUAAUCUACAUGUGUAUAAGUGAAGCUUUUAGAGAGAGGUUUAGUGCUUUUAUGUAUAAGUGAAGCUUUUAGAGAGAGGUUUAGUGCUUUUAUGGAUAAGUGAAGCUUUUAGAGAGAGGUUUAGUGCUUUUAUAUAUAAGUGAAGCUUUUAGAGAGAGGUUUAGUGCUUUUAUGUAUAAGUGAAUCUUUUAGAGAGAGGUUUAGUGCUUUUAUGUAUAAGUGAAGCUUUUAGAGAGAGGUUUAGUGCUUUUAUGUAUAAGUGAAGCUUUUAGAGAGAGGUUUAGUGCUUUUAGGCAGUAAGUGAGUAAACCGAUAUGCAGUAGGCAGUAAGUGGGUAAACUGAUAUGCAGUAAGUGGGGAAACCGAUAGGCAGUAAGUGGGUAAACCGAUAGGCAGUAAGUGGGUAAACCGAUAUGCCUAAGGGGUUAAUCGGUGUAAUUGUUCUAUAAAUAAACCGGUAU